CCUACGGGUGACAGCAGUGGGGGAUAUUGCACAAUGGGGGAAACCCUGAUGCAGCGACGCCGCGUGGGCGAAGAAUUAUUUCGGUAUGUAAAGCCCUAUCAGCAUGGAAGAAGAAAUGACGGUACCUGCGUAAGGAGCACUGGCUAAAUAGGUACCAGCAGCCACGGUCAUACGUAUGGUGCAGGCGUUAUCCGGAUUUCGUGGGUGUAACGGGAGCGCAGGGGGGAAGGCAAGCCUGAUGUGAAAGCCCGCGGCUCAACCGCGGGAUUGCAUUGGGAACUACCGGGCUGGAGUGCAGGAGAGGUAGGCGGAAUGCGUGGUGUAGCGGUGAAAUGCGUAGAUAGUAGGAGGAACACC
This 357-nucleotide ribosomal RNA is filed under the name uncultured bacterium. RNAcentral describes it as "partial 16S ribosomal RNA". It matches the Rfam family "Bacterial small subunit ribosomal RNA", at positions 338 to 710 of the family's 1533-position model. The record is from RNAcentral.